UCAGCAGGCGGAACGCCGUCUGCAGCUGGGGCCCGAGUCUACGCUAUCCCUCGGUCCCGGGCUCUCCGCCUCGCAUCACGCACACGCGGGGCUCCCCGGCCCUCCGGGACCCCCUCCCGCCUCUCCCGCGGCCGCUUCCGAAUGAGACGAGCGCCGCGCUGGGGGUCGCGGGCCCGGGGGCGCUGGCGCUACGGCCCGGGGGGCGGCGCGGGCAAAGCUGCGCGUCCUUGAAGGCUGCGGUGCGGCCUGGGUCUCUGCCUCCGGGCCCCUGCCGGGGGCCGGGCUGAGCGCGCGGGGAGCCGGACCAUGGAUGUGGAAGAAGCCUUCCAGGUGGUGGGGGAGAUGGGCAUCUACCAGAUGUACCUGUGCUUCCUGCUGGCCGUGCUGCUGCAGCUCUAUGUUGCCACAGAGGCAAUCCUCAUUGCACUGGUCGGGGCAACGCCUUCCUACCACUGGGACCUGGCAGAGCUUCUGCCUAAUCAAAGCCAUAGCAACCAGUCAAGGACGGAAGACCAAGCCUUUGGGGAAUGGUUCCUGACAGCCAAUGGAAGCGAGAUGCACAAGCAUGUCCAUUUCAGCGGCAGCUUCACUUCCAUCGCCUCCGAGUGGUUCUUAAUUGCCAGCAAGUCAUACAAAGUGAGUGUAGCCAGCUCAUUUUUCUUCAGUGGUGUGUUUGUGGGAGUGAUAUCAUUUGGCCAACUUUCGGAUCGUUUGGGGAGGAAAAGGGUCUAUCUAACAGGUUUUGCCCUUGACAUCCUGUUUGCCAUUGCAAAUGGAUUUUCCCCUUCAUAUGAGUUAUUUGCCAUAUCGCGAUUCCUAGUGGGAAUGAUGAAUGGAGGGAUGUCGUUGGUGUCCUUUGUGUUGUUGAAUGAAUGUCUGGGCACUGCCUACUGGGCACUAGCAGGAUCCAUCGGUGGGCUGUUUUUUGCAGUGGGAAUUGCCCAGUGUGCUCUGCUAGGAUACUUCAUUCGCUCCUGGAGAACACUUGCAGUUGUGGUUAACUUGCAGGGAACGGUGGUCUUUCUCUUGUCAUUAUUCAUUCCUGAGUCGCCCCGAUGGUUAUACUCCCAAGGCCGGUUACAGGAAGCAGAAGAUGCCCUCUACCUCAUUGCCAGGAGGAACCGGAAGCUCAAGUGCACUUUUUCGCUGAUGCCCCCAGGAGAGGGGAUCUCCAAAGAGACUGGCAGUUUCCUGGAUCUCUUCCGCUACAGGAUCCUCUUGGGGCACACUCUGAUCAUGAUGUUCAUCUGGUUCGUGUGCAGCUUGGUUUAUUAUGGCCUAACCCUCAGUGCAGGAGAACUGGGUGGGAAUAUUUAUGCCAACCUGGCCCUGUCAGGGCUGGUAGAGAUUCCCUCCUAUCCUAUCUGCAUCUAUUUGAUUAACCACAAAUGGUUUGGUCGAAAGCGGACAUUAGCAGUUUUUCUGUGCCUUGGAGGACUGGCCUGUCUGAUUGUCAUGUUUCUUCCUGAAAAAAAAGACACAGGAGUGUUUGCAGUGGUGAAUAGCCAUUCUUUGUCUUUACUAGGGAAACUGACCAUAAGUGCUGCUUUUAACAUUGUUUACAUCUAUACAUCGGAGCUUUACCCAACAGUCAUCAGAAAUGUCGGACUAGGCAUGUGUUCAAUGUUUUCCCGAGUUGGUGGGAUUAUUGCUCCCUUCAUUCCCUCACUGGUUGAAAUACGUGCAGUGGUCUUUACCUUUCAUCGUAUUUGGUGUGGCUGGCCUGUCUUCUGGGCUUCUCAGUUUAUUGUUGCCAGAAACCCUCAACAGACCUUUGCUGAAAACACUAUCUGAUCUCCAGAUGUAUUCAUAUCGGAGGCUAGGGGAUGAAGCAUUAUCUUUGCAAGUACUGGAUCAUGAACAGUCUGAAGACAAGGAGAGCACAUUUGGAAGUGAAAGUAAUGAAGAUGAGUUUUAUGAUGCUGAUGAAGAGACUCAGAUGAUCAAAUGAGGAGAACCGAGGUCCUCUCCAUAGUCCUCCAGUCAUCCUUCAUGCCUCUGUUUUCAGACAGAUUCUCUGUUAACAGCAGCAGUCAACAAUGGAAUGAAGGUAGAUUGUGCUCCUCUUGACUCUGGAAUCUUCUUUGGGACAGGAAGAGAAUUUGAGAGAUAUUCCCACAGCAAGGAAGAUGUUGGUAUUCUCACUGGAGGAGCCUCCAAAACUUGUCUUGAACUUGAGAUUAGCUCAGAACUGUGACUCUCCAUGGUCAAAGAGCCUCAAUUUAUAUUCCCAAAUGACAGAAGACAUUUCUGGAAGUUGAGUCUUAGGUGUGCCUUCAAGUCAAUUUUGUUUGUAUUCUGAAUACGACCUAAAGGCAAAAGUAUGAAUUUGUCUAAAGAUUUUGGUGGGCUAAUGGGUACACCCUAAUUGUAAUUUACUAUUGAAUAGUAUUUAAUGUUUAUUCUUACUAGCACUCCUUCCUUAGGAGGCAGAUAAGUGUUUCCAUUUCCACUGGAUAUCGGAGGCAAAGUCCAGGAAAAGUAAGUGAUUUUCUUGAAGGCUCAGAAUUUUUUAGUGGCAAAGCUCAAAAUUUGAGCAUCCAUCUGAGUUACAAACUAAUAUAUCAGGGGUGCUUAUCUUGGGAUCCAUGGACCCCCAGUGUGUCCUUGGAUAGAUUUCAGGGGAUCUGUGAACCUAGAUGGAAAACAAAUUGCAUCUUUAUUUUUACUAACCUUUAAAUGAAAUUUAGCUUUUUCUUCUUAUUAUGAAUGUAGACAAUAAAACAGGAUUCUAAGAAAGGGGCCAUAGGCUUCACCAGACUGCCAAAGGGGUCCAUGACCCAAAAAAAGGUUAAGAACUCCUGCUGUAGAUUUACUUUAGCGAUAUGUGCCUUUAAUCUGAGAAAUGUGAGUUGAGUAAAAAUUAAUCCAUCCAAAAAAAAAAAACUUUCUGAAGUUUUAGGAGCUUGGCUCCCACUGAUGAUGGAAUUGUGCACCUAUUUUCACAUUUCUUUUAUAUUACCUUAGAUAAGUCAUUUGAUGUUUCUGGGCCUCAAUGUUUUGAUUUGUCAAAUGAGGAGGUUGGACCUAUAGAACACUGGUGUCAAAUUCGAAUUGGAGGAUCAUUAAAUCAUUCCCCAGGGACCACAGACUGACUUAGAAAACCACAUAUUAUCAUUACCUACGCAAUGUAGCUAGGUGACUGGAUGCCUAUAAUCAGGAAUACUCAUCUUCAUGAGUUCGAUUCUAGUCUGAGACAAUAAAAGUGUGACCUUGGGUAAGUCACUUAACUGUUUGCCUCAGUUUCCUCACCUUGUAAAAUGAGCUGGAGAAAAAAUAAAUGACAAACCAUCCCAAUAUCUUUGCCAACCAAAUGGGGUCACAAAGUCAGACACAACUGAACAAUAAAUGUUCUGUUUAUUUUAUUUUGUUAAAUAUUUCACAAUUACAUUUCUGUCUGUCUGGAGCCAUACUCAGGGGUGUUGUGGGCUGCAUGCAGCCCCUGGGCCAUAUGUUUGACACCUUUGCUCUAAAGGAGUAUCUCCAUUGUCUUUUGCAGCCCCCUGAAAUAUUUCUGAUCCUAUGGAAUAUUUCUGUUCUGAGGCUGUGGUAUUAGGGUGGUAUUAGGAGCAGCCAGAGAAUCUCCUUUGGACUUUAGGCCCCCAAAAGUGUGCAUGAAAGGAGCUAGGGAGUGAACCCUGAUGCCCCAAUGAAGGAGAGCACCCCGCUUUUCUUUGGAUGAGCUGCUGAAAGGGAUGGAUGCUGCUGGUACGUGGUUGCAGAGAGCAGGGAUCUCUGUCAGGCAGUUUGUCCUCAGUUUGUUUGGCCCUUAUUCUUGGAGGCUAAUUGAUGGGCUCAGACUUUACCUCCCCGGCUUCUCCUUUCCAUAGUUUCUGGCUAUAUUGCCAGUGGGUAUGAGAAGGUCAUAGGAAAUCAGUGUGAACAUAGAUGGUGCUUAGUUCUCCUGAUUGCUUUCCCUUUGAAAAUAUCAAAGUUCACAAAGAUUGCUUUCUCUAGCACAGCUAGAGACACUGUGUGGUGACUGCUUUAAAUGUGUAUGUAGCAAGGCAGCCAGGUGGAGCAAUGGAUAAAGCACUGGCCCUGGAUUCAGGAGGACCUGAGUUCAAAUCUGGACUCAGACACUUGACACUUACUAGCUGUGUGACCCUGGGCAAGUCACUUAACCCUCAUUGUCCCGGAAAAGAAAAAAAAAUGUGUAUGUAGUGUUGUUGCUGAAGGAGAAGUUGCCACUUUGCUAAGAAUAUCAUGGCAUUGCUGGGACAUUUUAUAGGAAUGAGGCCAGGAAUCCCCUGCAGCCAUGCUUUCUGCUCACCGAGUUCCCCUGAGCACUGGGGAAAUCCUAGAGCACAGAUUCUUAACUUGGGAAGAUUUCAGGGGGUCAUUGAACUUCAAUGAGAAGCAGAUUCCAUCUUCAUUUCUGUAUAUUUGACGUCUUUUAUUUUAUACAUUUAAAAACACUAUUCUGAGAAGGGACGCAUAGGUGUCUCUGGCCUGCCAGAGGGGGAAUGCGUGAUGCAGAAAAAGGUUAAAACCCCUUCCCUAAGCCCCAUGCCCUCUGGACUUCAGAUCCACACUACCCACCCUCUCCCUUGGUCCAUCAGUGUGGCUAUGCUCAGAUCACACGAAAUUAAGUUACACUC
Dromiciops gliroides (monito del monte) is the source of this 4601-nucleotide RNA transcript. It is a transcript of the gene named solute carrier family 22 member 15, with no coding region annotated. NCBI's taxonomy places the organism in Eukaryota, Metazoa, Chordata, Mammalia, Microbiotheria, Microbiotheriidae. The transcript has 12 exons. The record is from RefSeq and is a predicted model, not a curated record.